Molecule: unclassified non-coding RNA, 263 nt
Filed under: Bombus terrestris (buff-tailed bumblebee)
Lineage: Eukaryota; Metazoa; Arthropoda; Insecta; Hymenoptera; Apidae
Description: misc RNA ENSBTSG00005032526.1
Source: RNAcentral
UUUUUUGUUUUCUCGGGUUCUGUAUUUUUGCCAUUUUGCUUUUGCUUUUCUUUUUUCUUUGAUUUUGUCGAGUAUUUCUUGCGGUAUUGUUAUUGUUUGUCUGCUGGUUGGUUCGGGAGUAGGGUUGCUUAGUGUCGAAUCUUGUUAUAUUGUUUAUUGUUCUAGUUUGAUGUCCAAUUUUAGCUAACUCAUCGCUUAGUUUAUGUACGUUGGUUUUAGGAUGCAAUCCUCUUAUGACAAUUUUAUAGCUCCUUUCAGUUUUA